GAUGAAGAACGUAGUGAAAUGCGAUAAGUAGUGUGAAUUGCAGAAUUACCUGAAUCAUCGAAUCUUUGAACGCACAUUGCGCCCGUCAGUAUUCUGGCGGGCAUGCCUGUUCGAGCGUCAUUACGCCCCUCAAGUCCCCUGUGGACUUGGUGUUGGGGAUCGGCGAGGCUGGUUUUCCAGCACAGCCGUCCCUUAAAUUAAUUGGCGGUCUCGCCGUGGCCCUCCUCUGCGCAGUAGUAAAACACUCGCAACAGGAGCCCGGCGCGGUCCACUGCCGUAAAACCCCCCAACUUUUUAUAGUUGACCUCGAAUCAGGUAGGACUACCCGCUGAACUUAAGCAUAUCAAUAAGCGGAGGA
This 358-nucleotide unclassified non-coding RNA is filed under the name soil metagenome. Its description in RNAcentral is "partial contains 5.8S ribosomal RNA, internal transcribed spacer 2, and large subunit ribosomal RNA". The stretch from base 1 to 120 matches the Rfam family "5.8S ribosomal RNA", at positions 35 to 154 of the family's 154-position model. The record is from RNAcentral.